GACGAACGCUGGCGGCGUGCUUAAUACAUGCAAGUCGAACGGAAAGGCCCUGCUUUUGUGGGGUGCUCGAGUGGCGAACGGGUGAGUAACACGUGAGUAACCUGCCCUUGACUUUGGGAUAACUUCAGGAAACUGGGGCUAAUACCGGAUAGGAGCUCCUGCUGCAUGGUGGGGGUUGGAAAGUUUCGGCGGUUGGGGAUGGACUCGCGGCUUAUCAGCUUGUUGGUGGGGUAGUGGCUUACCAAGGCUUUGACGGGUAGCCGGCCUGAGAGGGUGACCGGCCACAUUGGGACUGAGAUACGGCCCAGACUCCUACGGGAGGCAGCAGUGGGGAAUAUUGCACAAUGGGCGGAAGCCUGAUGCAGCACCGCCGCGUGCGGGAUGACGGCCUUCGGUUUGUAAACCGCUUUCGCCUGUGACGAAGCGUGAGUGACGGUAAUGGGUAAAGAAGCACCGGCUAACUACGUG
RNAcentral lists this ribosomal RNA (468 nucleotides) under uncultured bacterium. RNAcentral describes it as "partial 16S ribosomal RNA". It matches the Rfam family "Bacterial small subunit ribosomal RNA", at positions 28 to 507 of the family's 1533-position model. The record is from RNAcentral.